CGGCGCUGUUUCGUCGUUACCAUUUAUUUCAUGUAGAAAAACUUUCUCAAUAGAUCGAAAUGUGAGAAUCUUCAUUUGAAAGUGCGCGCGCCUUAACAAGCGUCAGAUUGAUUGACAUCUAUUGACAUCGAAACAAAAGCCUCACGUGUGCAUCACGUUGAAAUCAUUAUCUUUCAUCUGCAUAACAAAAGCUCACGUGAACGGAUAUGAAGUCCAUUCUAAGUGAUACUCGUGUCUUCGCCGUUACUGUAACCGACGCUCGAAACUGAGCAAGGCAAAUUCACUUUUGGUAUAAAAGCAAAGCGAGAAUUUGGCUAUUAUUUUAUAGCAACUAAUUAGAAAAACAAGACAGCAAAAGGAAGAGUAGCAACAAGUGAAAGACGUUUUGAAAGAGCAGGUAAACACGGGAACAGACAGUCGCGUGAAGAUGAGAACGGCAAUUGUACCGAAGGGCGCAGAGGCCGUUAGAAAUGCCAAACGAUCCAGAAUGCCAGAAACUCUAUAAUUUGUCAACGGCGAUGGAGCAGAUUGAAUGGGAGCCAAAGCGCAAGGAAAAGUGAGUGAAAGUGAUGACUAUGGAUAUGGAGGAUGAAAAGAGGUGGGUGUUUUUGAUGGUGAAGCCCCUGGGAAAGAAAAGAGCUGAGGAGAGGAAAACAAGAGUUGGACAGGAGGCAUGUGACGGGCCCAACAGAAGUCUAUGCACAGAGUAAGAAGCUUUAAGUUUUCAAGCCGCCCUUGUCCCUCAUGCUCAGUCAGGUGGGAAGUCCUGAGGAAAAAGGAGACAUCCCUACCUCCCCAGUCACCCCUUCCUUGGCAGCGCCUGCCACCAUUGACAAAACUCCCAGUACAGCACGUAGGUCAUUAUGAGCGCUAACUUAGUUGAGACUUUUUACAGUAUUAGUACAGUAAUUGUUAAUUUUUACAGUUGGUCUUAUCAGAUUGAUCGAUAAAUUAUAUAUUUAUAGUGUAUUUUAAUUCCCAUAUUGUUUCAGUUGCUUUUAGCAGAUUGAUUGCAAUAUAUAUUUAUAGAAAAAGUAGAAAAAAGCUGAAGUUUUCAAUUUUGAAAAGCCAAAAAAUAUGAACUUGUUACUGAGCUUAUUUAUUUAUUUAUCUAUUUAUCUAUUUAUUUAUUAAUUAAUUUAAAUAUUAUGUUAGGUCUAACAGCCAACACAGGUUUAAAACUUUUUGUCAUUGUUAAUUUCAUUUAUAGAACUUAUAUAACACAGAACACCAAAUAUAUUGUAAAUAUGUUAUAGUUGCUACAGAGAAACUUAUUUUUAUAAGAACAUUGAUGGUUGUAGUUCUAUAAAAUAGUGUUUAUUUCAAUAAAAUUCUUUAUAUGCAA
Molecule: long non-coding RNA, 1345 nt
Organism: Nematostella vectensis (starlet sea anemone)
Lineage: Eukaryota; Metazoa; Cnidaria; Anthozoa; Actiniaria; Edwardsiidae
Exons: 2
Source: RefSeq, a predicted model, not a curated record